AAUUCCCUUCCUGUGCUUCUAGACUGUGUUACUCUCUUUUUAUACUCUGUGCUACAACCAUCCUGGUCAUGUUUCAGUUCCUCCAGCAAGAGGAUAUGAUAUGAGAACGUAUCAUAUCCUUCAUUCAGGAAUGACUGGUGACCUCUUCCUGGGAUUUAAAUCCCAACUCUAUCAAUAAACCCAUGACUGCUUUUCUUGUCAGCUGGUCUCCUGGUUUGAAGCUGUUGGCAGAAGCUGUGCCUUCAAGUUUACUAGGGCCCAUCCUUUGCCUUCUGGUGGAACAUUCCCUUGAGGAAAUCAGGACCUGUAGACCGCAGGACUUAAGAUAAUCGUUAUGAGCCUAACAGCGCUCCUGCACUGAUUCCCCAGCUUCACAACCUGGUCUCUAUGCCUACCAGCUGAUGGAGAAGGGUCUCUGCUCAGAGCC
Molecule: long non-coding RNA, 427 nt
Organism: Talpa occidentalis (Iberian mole)
Lineage: Eukaryota; Metazoa; Chordata; Mammalia; Eulipotyphla; Talpidae
Exons: 3
Source: RefSeq, a predicted model, not a curated record